RNAcentral lists this unclassified non-coding RNA (323 nucleotides) under soil metagenome. RNAcentral's name for it is "partial contains 5.8S ribosomal RNA, internal transcribed spacer 2, and large subunit ribosomal RNA". The stretch from base 1 to 120 matches the Rfam family "5.8S ribosomal RNA", at positions 35 to 154 of the family's 154-position model. The record is from RNAcentral.
GAUGAAGAACGCAGCGAAAUGCGAUAAGUAAUGCGAAUUGCAGAAUUCAGUGAGUCAUCGAAUCUUUGAACGCACAUUGCGCCCUGUGGUAUUCCGCAGGGCAUGCCUGUUCGAGCGUCAUUUCAACCCUCAAGCUCUGCUUGGUGUUGGGCCCUGCCCGCUGCGGCCGGCUCUAAAGACAGUGGCGGUGCCGCCUGGCCCUGAGCGUAGUACAUCUCUCGCUCCAGUGCCCGGUGGUAGCCUGCCAGAACCCCAACUCUCGUGGUUGACCUCGGAUCAGGUAGGGAUACCCGCUGAACUUAAGCAUAUCAAUAAGCGGAGGA